This 298-nucleotide unclassified non-coding RNA is filed under the name Hevea brasiliensis (rubber tree). Lineage: Eukaryota; Viridiplantae; Streptophyta; Magnoliopsida; Malpighiales; Euphorbiaceae. The record is from RNAcentral.
CACUCUUUUACUGUUCCUUCACUCAGUCCUUCCAAUAACAAUCUCUCCCGUAGCUUAUCGGUCGAAACGGUAAUGUCUAUCGCAGGUGCAAAAUCAUUGCUUGUCAAAGCCCGAGGAAACAUAUCUUUAGAAGAAAUCAAGGCAUCAAUCCAAGCACUGCGGUCCUCUCUAGAAUCACACCGUAAGUGAAGAGUCUUGGUGCCCGAAAAGAUAUACAGCCUCUUGUCAUCUGACUUGCUUGCGCGAACUGAAGAAACCUUCAAAUGUAUCUCCCCGAAAGGCUUCCACUGCUUAGCCG